UGCACUGUAUGGUGUCUGCACCCAGCAGUAUCGUCCUGGUGGGGUGUUCAAAAAGUGGUGCUACAGUAUUUCAGCAGCUGGCAUCGUUGGUUUUCACGCAGAUGUGCUGGUUAAACUUGGUAUUUCUGUUGAAACAAGU
This is a non-coding RNA of Eurypyga helias (sunbittern), 139 nucleotides long. The record is from Rfam. Lineage: Eukaryota; Metazoa; Chordata; Aves; Eurypygiformes; Eurypygidae.